CGUGUACUGAGACUCGACAAAUCGAGUCGUCCUUUACUCUUAUUGUUAUGCUAAUUUGAGCAUGUGAGAGUUGAGCCGUAAAAGUCCGUGCAAUUUAACAGUCACUUUUACCUUGAAAACCAAACGGAGAGGACGUUAAAACAAUUUAGAGAAAUAUUACAUCAAGAUCAGUAUAGAUUGCAUUAGUUUAUUUAGCAAGUCAUAUUUUAAAUUUAAUUCGAAUUUAAAGAUUUCAUUUGUGUUUUUUGAAAUAGUUUAAUUAAUUUCUUACUUCGUCGAAUUAUAUAUGCGGCCACGUGGUAUUGAAAACAUUUUUAAAUGAAUAAUCUUUACAUUUUUAUACAUGAAUUGCCUAAAUAUGUUUAAUUACACAUUUUAUUUUAUCGUUGAUUCAGAACGUUAAAGUACACCUGCUAUAAUGCGUAAAGACAGAAUUGGUCGACGAAGAAAUGGAAAUGGGCGCGCACGAGUGCCUGUUGUUGAAGCGCAACCCCCAGAGAGACGUCGCGGAAGGAGAAAUCGUGGUGUUGCUGCACCGGGAGUUCAAGAAUUUGGGGCAGUUGUGGGUGAGGUACAAGAACCUGUUCCUCUACAAAUCCAGUCUCCUAUGCCAAUUGAAGGACAACCUGCCAUGCAAGGUCCCGUUACACCAGCACUCAACGUACAAGCGCCAUUUGCGCAAGUUGAGAUACCAGCUCCUGUGCCAAUGCCUAAUCAAAAUGCUAGUGAAUUGACCACUUAUAUGUCAAUCAUUAGAGGUACACAAGUUUGUUUUGAGAAGAUUUAUCGUUACGACCAGCAAUUUAGAUUAAGAAUGGCAAACAGUCCUACUAGAUCUUGGUCUUCCAUUGAUGGCAUUUUAUGGUACACUGUCAUAGCUAAUGGGGAACCGGAAUGUAAUACAAUUCAACAGACAAGUCUAGGUAAUCGACCAUGCU
This is a long non-coding RNA of Mytilus californianus (California mussel), 938 nucleotides long. RefSeq lists it as uncharacterized. The record is from RefSeq and is a predicted model, not a curated record. Lineage: Eukaryota; Metazoa; Mollusca; Bivalvia; Mytilida; Mytilidae. The transcript is spliced from 3 exons.